This 67-nucleotide transfer RNA is filed under the name Syrphus ribesii. Its description in RNAcentral is "tRNA-His". RNAcentral also lists the same sequence under 1 other name. Lineage: Eukaryota; Metazoa; Arthropoda; Insecta; Diptera; Syrphidae. The record is from RNAcentral.
AUUUAAAUAGUUUAAUUAAAAAUAUUGAUUUGUGGUGUCGAUGAUAUGAAUUUAUUCAUUUUAAAUU